This is a non-coding RNA of Castor canadensis (American beaver), 990 nucleotides long. The record is from RefSeq and is a predicted model, not a curated record. NCBI's taxonomy places the organism in Eukaryota, Metazoa, Chordata, Mammalia, Rodentia, Castoridae.
CCCAAGAUGGCGACUCCCAUGCACUGGCUCAUAGCCCGGAGACAAGCUGAAGCAAAUAAACAACACGUAAGAUGUCAGAAAUGCUUGGAAUUUGGACAUUGGACUUAUGAAUGCACAGGAAAAAGAAAAUAUCUACAUAGGCCUUCAAGAACAGCAGAACUAAAGAAAGCUUUAAAAGAAAAAGAAAAUCGAUUAUUAUUACAGCAAAGCAUUGGAGAAACUAAUGUAGAAAGAAAGACCAAGAAAAAAAGGUCUAAGAGUGUAACUAGUUCCAGUAGCAAUAGCAGUGAUAGUUCAGCCAGUGAUUCUUCAUCAGAAAGUGAAGAAACAUCUACCUCAUCCUCCUCAGAGGACAGUGACACAGAUGAAAGCUCCUCCAGUUCGUCAUCUUCAGCCUCCUCCACGACCUCUUCCUCCUCCUCUGAUUCAGACUCAGACUCCAGCUCUUCCAGUAGCAGCAGCACCAGCACAGAUAGCAGCUCUGAGGAUGAACCACCAAAGAAGAAGAAAAAGAAAUAGAAUUGCUCUUUCCAUGCUGGACCAAUGAACUGAAAACAUCAAUGUGACUCUCAAUGGAAAAUUAGAAAAUAUUCAAGCAAAUAGCUUAACUAGUCAAAAUUUCUAGAGUUCAAAAGUUUCUAAGUGUUUUGUAUUGUAAGGGCAGAAAGAGUAUUAAUAAUGGAUUAUAUAUAUAAAGACUUAUUUUGGGGGUGAAUCUUGUUUAUCUCUGAAACAUAUCUCUAUAACUUGAUCAAAGCUGAAAACUAGUAAAUCUGGUUUUUUUUGUGAUGAGACUCACUUUUUUCUCCUUGUAAAAUAAAUGUCAUACUGUGUUAAUGGUAUGUAUGGGACAGGUUUUCAGGAUAAUACAUCAGAAUAUCUGGCAGUGAAUUUCUAAUACUUGUGGCUGUGUUUAUUAUGUAAGACUUAAUACAUUGUCUCUAUAAGCUUAGGAAUUUUCCUACUGUUAAUAAAUAUGCUGUAUUUUUA